AGCUUAGUUGGCAAAGCGCUCGUCUACCGUACAAGAGUCCUGGGUUCAAAUCCCAG
RNAcentral lists this transfer RNA (56 nucleotides) under Aedes aegypti (yellow fever mosquito). It matches the Rfam family "tRNA", at positions 9 to 63 of the family's 71-position model. Rfam says of the family: Transfer RNA (tRNA) molecules are approximately 80 nucleotides in length. Lineage: Eukaryota; Metazoa; Arthropoda; Insecta; Diptera; Culicidae. The record is from Rfam by way of RNAcentral.